UCUGACGACGCAACGCCGCGUGAAGGAUGAAGGUCUUCGGAUUGUAAACUUCUGUUGGGUGGGAAGAACUGUUUCCGGAUCAAUACCCCGGAGAUUUGACGGUACCACCUGAGGAAGCCCCGGCUAACUCUGUGCCAGCAGCCGCGGUAAUACAGAGGGGGCAAGCGUUGUUCGGAAUUACUGGGCGUAAAGGGCGCGUAGGCGGCCUGUUAAGUCAGACGUGAAAUCCCCCGGCUCAACCGGGAAACUGCGUCUGAUACUGGCGGGCUUGAGUUCGGGAGAGGAAUGUGGAAUUCCAGGUGUAGCGGUGAAAUGCGUAGAUAUCUGGAGGAACACCGGUGGCGAAGGCGGCAUUCUGGACCGACACUGACGCUGAGGCGCGAAAGCCAGGGGAGCAAACGGGAUUAGAUACCCCGGUAGUCCUGGCCCUAAACGAUGAGUGCUUGGUGUGGCGGGUAUCGAUCCCUGCCGUGCCGAAGCUAACGCGAAAGCACUCCGCC
RNAcentral lists this ribosomal RNA (500 nucleotides) under uncultured bacterium. Its description in RNAcentral is "bacterial SSU rRNA". It matches the Rfam family "Bacterial small subunit ribosomal RNA", at positions 382 to 873 of the family's 1533-position model. The record is from RNAcentral.